CUUCCUUCGUCACAUCCUCUUUCCGUUGCUCCUCUCGCCUUGAGAAACUUCUCCUCACGAUGAGAGCUAAGUGGAGGAAGAAGCGUAUGCGCAGGCUGAAGCGUAAAAGGAGGAAGAUGAGGCAGAGGUCUAAGUAGGCCCUCAUCCAUGCCAGCUGUGGUCCCGUCGGAGCCUCUCCAGUUGACUGACCCAUGUGGCUGAAGUGAAGCCUCCAUCGGUGGAACGGAGGCCUGAACCCUGAUCUCAGAUGACUGCGCACCUCAUGGAGACUGCUGUGAAAGUCUGACUGGAAAAGGAGACGAUGCUGGACUAUCAACAUCGGAACUACAGCUGCUUUGUUCGCGGCUAAAAAUACAUGUUUACCAACAACUGUCAUUCUGUGACGUAUUGAACAAUAAACGAACACUGUUUAAAAUUUA
Anarrhichthys ocellatus (wolf-eel) is the source of this 419-nucleotide long non-coding RNA. RefSeq lists it as uncharacterized. The transcript has 4 exons. NCBI's taxonomy places the organism in Eukaryota, Metazoa, Chordata, Actinopteri, Perciformes, Anarhichadidae. The record is from RefSeq and is a predicted model, not a curated record.